This 253-nucleotide ribosomal RNA is filed under the name uncultured bacterium. Its description in RNAcentral is "partial 16S ribosomal RNA". It matches the Rfam family "Bacterial small subunit ribosomal RNA", at positions 524 to 776 of the family's 1533-position model. The record is from RNAcentral.
UACGGGGGGGGCAAGCGUUGUUCGGAAUUACUGGGCGUAAAGGGCUCGUAGGUGGCCAACUAAGUCAGACGUGAAAUCCCUCGGCUUAACCGGGGAACUGCGUCUGAUACUGGAUGGCUUGAGUUCGGGAGAGGGAUGCGGAAUUCCAGGUGUAGCGGUGAAAUGCGUAGAUAUCAGGAGGAACACCGAUGGCGAAGGCAGGUCUCUGGGCCGAUACUGACGCUGAGGAGCGAAAGCGUGGGGAGCGAACAGG